AUGGGUGAUAGUAAUACAAGAUACUUCCAAUUGGUCGCCAAUGGGCAGCAUAGGAAGAAAUGUAUUUAUAGUCUCCAACAAGAUGGGGGGAGGAUCGAAGGUCAGGAGGAGCUCAAAAAGUAUAUCACCAAAUACUACAAAUCUCUUUUCGGAGCGCCGACUGAAGGGAAUUUCACCCUUGAUGAGACCCGAACAGAUGAUAUUCCACAUGUCACGGUAGAAGAAAACGAUAUCCUAACGGCACCAUUCUCAGAAGAGGAGGUGCGAGCUACGGUGUUCCAAAUGGAACAUAACAAAGCUCCAGGCCCUGAUGGUUUCCCCGCAGAAUUCUAUCAGAAUUUCUGGGAUAUCAUCAAGUCUGACCUUUUGGAGUUGUUCAAUUGUUUUCAUGCCGACCGACUUGACCUAUUCAGACUUAAUUUUGGCGAGAUUAUCUUGUUGCCGAAGAUUAAGGAGGCCGAACGGAUUCAACAGUUCAGACCCAUAUGCCUCCUUAAUGUCAACUUCAAGAUUUUCACCAAAGUGAACAUGAGUGGAGUAGUAUUCAAAAUAGACUUCAAAAAAGCCUAUGACAAGGUCAAAUGGUCUUUCCUCCAACAGGCCCUAAGGAUGAAAGGCUUCUCCGAUAAAUGGUGCAAGUGGAUCCAAAAUUUUGUAACUGGAGGUAGUGUGGCCAUCAAAGUCAAUGAUGAUGUCGGCCAUUACUUUCAGACAAAAAAAGGACUACGAUAG
RNAcentral lists this ribosomal RNA (732 nucleotides) under Triticum aestivum (bread wheat). RNAcentral describes it as "partial small subunit ribosomal RNA". Lineage: Eukaryota; Viridiplantae; Streptophyta; Magnoliopsida; Poales; Poaceae. The record is from RNAcentral.